This 449-nucleotide ribosomal RNA is filed under the name uncultured bacterium. RNAcentral's name for it is "partial 16S ribosomal RNA". It matches the Rfam family "Bacterial small subunit ribosomal RNA", at positions 29 to 523 of the family's 1533-position model. The record is from RNAcentral.
AGCGAACGCUGGCGGCAGGCCUAACACAUGCAAGUCGAACGAAGUCUUCGGACUUAGUGGCGGACGGGUGAGUAACACGUGGGAACGUGCCUUUAGGUUCGGAAUAACUCAGGGAAACUUGUGCUAAUACCGAAUGUGCCCUUCGGGGGAAAGAUUUAUCGCUUUUAGAGCGGCCCGCGUCGGGUGAGCUAGUUGGUGAGGUAAAGGCUCACCAAGGCGCCGAUCAGUAGCUGGUCUGAGAGGAUGAUCAGCCACAUUGGGACUAAGACACGGCCCAAACUCCUACGGGAGGCAGCAGUGGGGAAUCUUGCGCAAUGGGCGAAAGCCUGACGCAGCCAUGCCGCGUGAAUGAUGAAGGUCUUAGGAUUGUGAAAUUCUUUCACCGGGGACGAUAAUGACGGUACCCGGAGAAGAAGCCCCGGCUAACUUCGUGCCAGCCGCCGCCGUAA